Molecule: ribosomal RNA, 130 nt
Filed under: Clostridium botulinum
Lineage: Bacteria; Bacillati; Bacillota; Clostridia; Eubacteriales; Clostridiaceae
Description: partial 23S ribosomal RNA
Rfam family: Bacterial large subunit ribosomal RNA
Source: RNAcentral
CUCAAGAUGAGAUUUCCCAUAGCAUAAGCUAGUAAGACUCCUGGAAGAACACCAGGUUGAUAGGUCAGAGAUGUAAGCAUGGCAACAUGUUAAGUUGACUGAUACUAAUAAGUCGAGGGCUUGACCAAAA